Molecule: ribosomal RNA, 281 nt
Filed under: uncultured Staphylococcus sp.
Lineage: Bacteria; Bacillati; Bacillota; Bacilli; Caryophanales; Staphylococcaceae
Description: partial 16S ribosomal RNA
Rfam family: Bacterial small subunit ribosomal RNA
Source: RNAcentral
CUCCUUUGACGUUAGCGGCGGACGGGUGAGUAACACGUGGGUAACCUACCUAUAAGACUGGGAUAACUUCGGGAAACCGGAGCUAAUACCGGAUAAUAUUUCGAACCGCAUGGUUCGAUAGUGAAAGGUGGUUUUGCUAUCACUUAUAGAUGGACCCGCGCCGUAUUAGCUAGUUGGUAAGGUAACGGCUUACCGAGGCGACGAUACGUAGCCGACCUGAGAGGGUGAUCGGCCACACUGGAACUGAUACACGGUCCAGACUCCUACGGGAGGCAGCAGCC